This 785-nucleotide long non-coding RNA is filed under the name Salmo salar (Atlantic salmon). Its description in RNAcentral is "lncRNA (ENSSSAG00000099405.1, ENSSSAG00000109422.1, ENSSSAG00020053777.1, ENSSSAG00075010055.1)". The record is from RNAcentral. Lineage: Eukaryota; Metazoa; Chordata; Actinopteri; Salmoniformes; Salmonidae.
ACAACUUUUAGUGAGUGGAUAGAGGGAUGUCCCCAGAGCUGUUUCCUGAGCGUGACCGAGUGCGCCUUUCUUGUUUUUCUUUUAUAUUGACGAAGCUAUUGUCCGGUUGAAAUAUUAUCGAUUAUUUAGGCUAAAAACAACCUGAGGAUUGAUUAUAAACAUCGUUUGACAUAUUUCUACGAACUUUACUGGUACUGUUUGGAAUUUUCGUCUGCCUGUUGUGACCGCAUUUGAGCCAUUGGAUUACUGAACAAAACGCUCCAAUAAAAUGGAGGUUUUUGGAUAUAAAGAGGGACUUUAUCGAACAAAACGAACAUUUAUUGUGUAACUGGGAGUCUUGUGAGUGCAACCAUACGAAGAUCAUCAAAGCCUCACCAACAGAUGUCAUCUCUACAGUUUCAGCUGUUUCCCCUGCAGCCCCUCCUGCCAACCCCUCUACCGCCCAUAGUAGAGCCUUCAUCAGAAGACACAGGAUGGCUCUAGAGACUCGCCUGGGACUCUUACAGUCCUUAUUUCUGCGUCUCCAGGAUUGUGGGGUUCUGAAUGACGAGGAGAGGGAGGAGGUGGUCAGCAAAUCCACCAAGACCCUACAGAACCAAGCCCUGCUGGACAUGGUGGUAAGGGAGGGGGCUCAUACCCAUGAAUACUUCUACCAGGUCCUGAAGGAAGUAGAUCCCUGCCUGGUUGAAGACCUGGAAGAGCAGACAGUCUGAGGCAGGUGGCCAUGGAUACAACCUCAGUAGAUAUCAAAACUUUUAUCAGAUACAGAGAGCAGUACUUUGAGG